Molecule: ribosomal RNA, 181 nt
Filed under: uncultured bacterium
Lineage: Bacteria
Description: partial 16S ribosomal RNA
Rfam family: Bacterial small subunit ribosomal RNA
Source: RNAcentral
GAUGAACGCUGGCUACAGGCUUAACACAUGCAAGUCGAGGGGCAGCAUUUCUUUAGCAAUAAAGAAGAUGGCGACCGGCGCACGGGUGAGUAACACGUAUCCAAUCUGCCUUUUACUCGGGGAUAGCCUUUCGAAAGAAAGAUUAAUACCCGAUGGUAUAUGAUUACUGCAUGUGUUAAGC